UAAGGAAUAUUGGUCAAUGGACGCAAGUCUGAACCAGCCAUGCCGCGUGGAGGAUGAAGGUCCUCUGGAUUGUAAACUUCUUUUAUCUGGGACGAAACACUUCUUUUCUAAGAGGCCUGACGGUACCAGAUGAAUAAGCACCGGCUAACUCCGUGCCAGCAGCCGCGGCAAUACGGCGGGUGCAAGCGUUAUCCGGAUUCACUGGGUUUAAAGGGUGCGUAGGUGGGUAUGUAAGUCAGUGGUGAAAUCUCCGAGCUUAACUUGGAAACUGCCGUUGAUACUAUAGGUCUUGAAUUAUCUGGAGGUGAGCGGAAUAUGUCAUGUAGCGGUGAAAUGCUUAGGUAUGACAUAGAACACCAAUUGCGAAGGCAGCUUACUACAUAUAAAUUGACGCUGAGGCACGAAAGCGUGGGGAUCAAACA
RNAcentral lists this ribosomal RNA (422 nucleotides) under uncultured bacterium. Its description in RNAcentral is "bacterial SSU rRNA". It matches the Rfam family "Bacterial small subunit ribosomal RNA", at positions 355 to 774 of the family's 1533-position model. The record is from RNAcentral.